GACGAACGCUGGCGGCGUGCCUAAUACAUGCAAGUCGAACGCAUUUUCUUUCACCGUAGCUUGCUACACCGAAAGAAAAUGAGUGGCGAACGGGUGAGUAACACGUGGGUAACCUGCCCAUCAGCGGGGGAUAACACUUGGAAACAGGUGCUAAUACCGCAUAAUUCCAUUUACUGCAUGGUAGAUGGAUGAAAGGCGCUUUUGCGUCACUGAUGGAUGGACCCGCGGUGCAUUAGCUAGUUGGUGGGGUAACGGCCUACCAAGGCUGCGAUGCAUAGCCGACCUGAGAGGGUGAUCGGCCAAACUGGGACUGAGACACGGCCCAGACUCCUACGGGAGGCAGCAGUAGGGAAUCUUCGGCAAUGGACGCAAGUCUGACCGAGCAACGCCGCGUGAGUGAAGAAGGUUGUCGGAUCGUAAAACUCUGUUGUUAGAAAAGAACAAGGAUGAGAGUGGAAAGUUCAUCCCUUGACGGUAUCUAACCAGAAAGCCACGGCUAACUACGUG
This 507-nucleotide ribosomal RNA is filed under the name uncultured bacterium. RNAcentral's name for it is "partial 16S ribosomal RNA". It matches the Rfam family "Bacterial small subunit ribosomal RNA", at positions 28 to 507 of the family's 1533-position model. The record is from RNAcentral.